RNAcentral lists this ribosomal RNA (439 nucleotides) under uncultured bacterium. RNAcentral describes it as "partial 16S ribosomal RNA". It matches the Rfam family "Bacterial small subunit ribosomal RNA", at positions 338 to 795 of the family's 1533-position model. The record is from RNAcentral.
CCUACGGGGGGCAGCAGUGGGGAAUAUUGCACAAUGGGCGAAAGCCUGAUGCAGCAACGCCGCGUGAGCGAUGAAGGCCUUCGGGUCGUAAAGCUCUGUCCUUAAGGAAGAUAAUGACGGUACUUGAGGAGGAAGCCCCGGCUAAAUAGGUGCCAGCAGCCGCGGUAAUACGUAGGGGGCUAGCGUUAUCCGGAAUUACCGGGCGUAAAGGGUGCGUAGGUGGUUUCUUAAGUCAGAGGUGAAAGGUUACGGUUAAACCGUAGUAAGCCGUUGAAACUGGGGAACUUGAGUUCAGGAGAGGUGAGUGGAAUUCCUGGUGUAGCGGUGAAAUGCGUAGAUAUUAGGAAGAACACCGGUUGCGAAGGCGGCUCUCUGGACUGUAACUGACACUGAGGCACGAAAGCGUGGGGAGCAAACAGGAUUAGAUACCCGGGUAGUC